Molecule: ribosomal RNA, 253 nt
Filed under: uncultured bacterium
Lineage: Bacteria
Description: partial 16S ribosomal RNA
Rfam family: Bacterial small subunit ribosomal RNA
Source: RNAcentral
UACGUAGGGUGCAAGCGUUAAUCGGAAUUACUGGGCGUAAAGCGUGCGCAGGCGGUUGGGCAAGACCGAUGUGAAAUCCCCGGGCUUAACCUGGGAAUGGCAUUGGUGACUGCUUAGCUAGAGUGUGUCAGAGGGGGGUAGAAUUCCACGAGUAGCAGUGAAAUGCGUAGAGAUGUGGAGGAAUACCGAUGGCGAAGGCAGCCCCCUGGGAUAACACUGACGCUCAGGCACGAAAGCGUGGGGAGCAAACAGG